RNAcentral lists this ribosomal RNA (332 nucleotides) under uncultured bacterium. RNAcentral describes it as "bacterial SSU rRNA". It matches the Rfam family "Bacterial small subunit ribosomal RNA", at positions 568 to 898 of the family's 1533-position model. The record is from RNAcentral.
AGUGUAGGUGGCUAUGUAAGUCGGAUGUGAAAUCCCCGGGCUCAACCUGGGAACUGCAUUCGAUACUGCAUGGCUAGAGUCUGAUAGAGGGAAGUGGAAUUCCAGGUGUAGCGGUGAAAUGCGUAGAUAUCUGGAAGAGCACCAGUGGCGAAGGCGGCUUCCUGGAUCAAGACUGACACUGAGGCUCGAAAGCGUGGGGAGCAAACAGGAUUAGAUACCCUGGUAGUCCACGCCCUAAACUAUGUCAACUAGACGUUGGGUUCUUUAAUGAACUUAGUGUCGAAGCUAACGCGUUAAGUUGACCGCCUGGGGAGUACGGCCGCAAGGUUGAA